Molecule: small nuclear RNA, 22 nt
Filed under: Arabidopsis thaliana (thale cress)
Lineage: Eukaryota; Viridiplantae; Streptophyta; Magnoliopsida; Brassicales; Brassicaceae
Description: snRNA_08537
Source: RNAcentral
AUCACGCCUUCAGUUGGAACAG